CCUACGGGAGGCAGCAGUGGGGAAUAUUGGACAAUGGGCGAAAGCCUGAUCCAGCAAUGCCGCGUGAGUGAUGAAGGCCUUAGGGUUGUAAAGCUCUUUUACCAGGGAUGAUAAUGACAGUACCUGGAGAAUAAGCUCCGGCUAACUCCGUGCCAGCAGCCGCGGUAAUACGGAGGGAGCUAGCGUUGUUCGGAAUUACUGGGCGUAAAGCGUGCGUAGGCGGUGAUUCAAGUCAGAGGUGAAAGCCUGGAGCUCAACUCCAGAACGGCCUUUGAAACUAGAUCGCUAGAAUUAUGGAGAGGUAAGUGGAAUUCCGAGUGUAGAGGUGAAAUUCGUAGAUAUUCGGAAGAACACCAGUGGCGAAGGCGACUUACUGGACAUAUAUUGACGCUGAGGUACGAAAGCGUGGGGAGCAAACAGGAUUAGAUACCCUGGUAGUCCACGCCGUAAACGAUGAUAACUAGCUGUUCGGGCUCUCAGAGCUUGAGUGGCGCAGCUAACGCAUAAGUUAUCCGCCUGGGGAGUACGGUCGCAAGNUAAAACUCAAAGGAAUUGACGCUGAGACGNGCGAGACGACACGAGGAGAG
Molecule: ribosomal RNA, 587 nt
Filed under: uncultured bacterium
Lineage: Bacteria
Description: bacterial SSU rRNA
Rfam family: Bacterial small subunit ribosomal RNA
Source: RNAcentral